This 466-nucleotide ribosomal RNA is filed under the name uncultured Thiobacillus sp. Its description in RNAcentral is "bacterial SSU rRNA". It matches the Rfam family "Bacterial small subunit ribosomal RNA", at positions 912 to 1382 of the family's 1533-position model. Lineage: Bacteria; Pseudomonadati; Pseudomonadota; Betaproteobacteria; Nitrosomonadales; Thiobacillaceae. The record is from RNAcentral.
AGACGGGGACCCGCACAAGCGGUGGAUGAUGUGGAUUAAUUCGAUGCAACGCGAAGAACCUUACCUACCCUUGACAUGUCCGGAACUUGCCAGAGAUGGCUUGGUGCCCGAAAGGGAAUCGGAACACAGGUGCUGCAUGGCUGUCGUCAGCUCGUGUCGUGAGAUGUUGGUUAAGUCCCGCAACGAGCGCAACCCUUAUCAUUAGUUGCUACGCAAGGGCACUCUAAUGAGACUGCCGGUGACAAACCGGAGGAAGGUGGGGAUGACGUCAAGUCCUCAUGGCCCUUAUGGGUAGGGCUUCACACGUCAUACAAUGGUCGGUACAGAGGGUUGCCAAGCCGCGAGGUGGAGCCAAUCCCACAAAGCCGAUCGUAGUCCGGAUUGUUCUCUGCAACUCGAGAGCAUGAAGUCGGAAUCGCUAGUAAUCGCAGGUCAGCAUACUGCGGUGAAUACGUUCCCGGGUCUU